GGAGCUUCAUAGUUGGGAGAGUUAACGGCUAACAAAAACAGAGAGGAAAUAGAGUAAGAGUGACGGGGAGGGAGGUGAACGGCAAAGAGAAAACAACAAAAGAGGGAGGUGGACGGAAAAAAGAGAGAAAGGUUGACGGUGGAAGAAGAGGGGGUAGAGAGGGACGGCGAUAGAAAGCCAAAGCUACGGGAAGCUUAUGGAGUUGGCGACUGUGAGGGUUUAGAAACAAAGAAAAACCAAAGGAAGAAGAGGAAGAGAAAUCUGGGGGCUUCAUCGUGGAGAGGGGCUGACGGGGAGGAAAGUAAAAACAGCAAAAGAAAAGCUAGGAGCUACGGCUGAGUGGAGAGCUGGGGGCGGCGAACCGAAAACCAGAAAAAGAAGAAGAAAUUUUCUGCAAAAUUUUCGGCAGAAUGGGCUGAUUUUCGGCACACCUUGCGGCAUGAUUAUUUCCUGUCUGGUUGUGCAAUCCGAUUGGAUUUUUGUUUCUGCACCAAGUGGGGAGUAAGGGGAGGAUUUCUUGUUCAGAAAUUGUUCACAAAUAACAAUGGGAAGAUCGUCAAAUCUGACCACCAAGGAGCUGCUCUGCCUCCACUGCACAGAACGAAAACGCAGCAGAAACUCUUGUUUUGGCCCAGCAAUUCAGGUGAUCGUUUCUGAGCCUCUUCCAUACUCGUUUACAUCCCUUAUUGUUUAUAGACGGAAACAAUUUCUUUUAGCUGAAACUUUCAUGAAAUUUCAGAAAAUCUUGCUUGAGCUUUUCCUUUUCCUUUGAAUAAAUCGUUUUUUUGGAUUGCUGGAGUCGUGGUUUGCUUAACAAUGCUUGACUUGUUUGCUAUUCGACUGAGAUGUCGCGUGUACAUUGUGAAGCUUAGAGCUAAAGGCCAUCAGUGUCUUGCAUCUUGUUUAGCCAAAAAGUUUUCCAUGUGAACUUGAGUCGCGGCUGCCAAAGUGGCAGCAGGCGCACUUUUGGUUGCUGAUUUUUUUAUAUAGAGCCAAUGAUCCUAGUUUUCAUUUGUUUUGAUUUGAGCGGAGAUGGAUCGAAGAUUUUGCAUAUACUUUGUUUGCCAAAGGCUCGUGAAUGAAGUUUGCGAAUGAAAAUCUGCAGAGAGAGUUCUUGCUGCAUUUUUUCCCUUUCUUUUGCUGUUUAGUUCUUGUCGCCCCUGAUGGGUAUCUCGAAUGUUUGGCUGCAUCCCUACGACGAGUUCAUGUGCAUUGGAGUUAGUUUUGAUAACUGGAAUCCGGCUGACUGGCGAGCUUUUGGCAUGAUUUAAUGUAGAAAGCCGCAGCUGGAAUAUUGUAAAAGAAAAACCCUGCGGCAUUUUUUCCUUUCUUUCUAUUGCUGUUUUGCUGUUUAGUUUUACCUCUGGUGGUCAGUUUCAUUUAUUGUUUUAAUCCUGCAAUAAGAGUUGCUGUCUUACUCCUGCAAUGAUGAAAUGGUUAUGCUUAGAUGAAAUGUUUUUGAUCAAUGCUUGGAAAUGGAAAUGAGAAAUGCAGCAAGCUUGCACUUUUCCGUUUGCAGAAAUCUUCUUGAGUUUGCAUGAAAGGUUGCUGGAAUUUACAUUAUCCCAUCAUAAUUUGUUGGCUUGUGGAAUUCUGUGUUAGUUUUUAGUUUAAUGCCGAUGGCUUUGAUUGAUUGGUGAGAUGUUAGCUGCAUAUUAGGAUUGUAUUUGAGAAGUUUAGCAUGUUGCAGAUGAAAGGAACCAGAAAAACAAAGAGAUUUACGUAGCAUGCAUGAAAGCUUUCUGAAAUAUUACACUUUGACCCCCUAAGUCUCUCCUAAUGCCACUAUGACCCAAUUAAUUAAAGAAUUUCAUCAAAUUGGUCCUUGAUAAUUUUAAUUUGUGCAACUUCAUUGUUUGUUUUGCUUCAAUUAACUACCAUGCUCUGUCAAUUGCACUUAAGUUAUGACUUUAGGGACUUUAUGACUAAGUGAGCCUUGUUUUGCCCAUUUCUUCUAAUUUUUUAAAUAAAGUGGUGCCUUGACCUUUUUAUUAUUUUGGAGGGUAAUUGAAUAAUUUCACUUCAUUGGGGCGUCAAUUCAAGGGAGGUACACUCUAUCCUUCAUUUGCGCUUCAUUUGACCCUACGUGCUCCUACGUGUUAUGUGAAUAUGCAUGUCUACUUCGCUUUCCUUACCUCCUUGCAUGCGUUUACUUGCUUUUUACUUUUAUUUAAGUUUUAUGGGGUAUGUGUACACCUCUUCGCUUGUAAUAGAUAGGGCUCGGAGAGCCUCUAGUCCAUUUCCCCUUUCCCUUUAUGCUUUUAUGGGGUAUGUGUACACCUCUUGGCUUGUAAUAGAUAGGGCUCGGAGAGCAUCUGGUCCAUUUUCCCCUUCCCCUUGUUUGCUUGUUUUUGUUGCUACAUGUUUAAUUGCUUUGAUAGGGCCUCGCAUCUAGUCGAGCAUGCUAAAUGUUAUGUGCUAUGUGUUUAUACGUGUUUGGCAUGUCUACUCGCUUUCUAUAGCAUGAAUGAAUGUGAUGGAUGAAUGUACGUCACCACACUAGUCCAAUGCUAGUUGUGGCUCAUUAGGUAUUUCUCCUCGUUAGCACAUCAUUUGCUUGUUCACCACAUAUCACGCAUUUUUCUUAGCUUUAUCAUUUGGCAU
This 2604-nucleotide long non-coding RNA is filed under the name Coffea arabica (coffee). Its description in RNAcentral is "long non-coding RNA (CARA_LNC004667)". Lineage: Eukaryota; Viridiplantae; Streptophyta; Magnoliopsida; Gentianales; Rubiaceae. The record is from RNAcentral.